RNAcentral lists this unclassified non-coding RNA (343 nucleotides) under soil metagenome. RNAcentral's name for it is "partial contains 5.8S ribosomal RNA, internal transcribed spacer 2, and large subunit ribosomal RNA". The stretch from base 1 to 120 matches the Rfam family "5.8S ribosomal RNA", at positions 35 to 154 of the family's 154-position model. The record is from RNAcentral.
GAUGAAGAACGUAGUGAAAUGCGAUAAGUAAUGUGAAUUGCAGAAUUCAGUGAAUCAUCGAAUCUUUGAACGCACAUUGCGCCCGCCAGCAUUCUGGCGGGCAUGCCUGUUCGAGCGUCAUUUCAACCCUCGACUUCCCUUUGGGGAAAUCGGCGUUGGGGACCGGCUGUAUACCGCCGGCCCCGAAAUGAAGUGGCGGCCCGUCCGCGGCGACCUCUGCGUAGUAAUCCAACUCGCACCGGAACCCCGACGUGGCCACGCCGUAAAACCCCCGACUUCUGAACGUUGACCUCGGAUCAGGUAGGAAUACCCGCUGAACUUAAGCAUAUCAAUAAGCGGAGGA